AUCGUCAUGAGGAGCUUGCUCGAUCGGCAUAGCAUCUUUUAAUUUUUUUUAAUAAACAUAGCAUCUUUUAAUUUGGGACAGGAAACAAGCUGCACACGUGCGCGUCCGGCUGAGCACAUCCAUGCAGACAGCCAUGCACGCAUGUGCGCAUUUGUGAAGGGUAAUGAGCUGCUAGCGAGCCACGGAUCGAGGAACUCAAUUGGUUGAUGUAUGACCCCACCUAAUUCCAUGUCUUCAUUGAGGCCAAUUUAGACUGGACCACGCGGCACCACCGACUUUUACCACUGAGCCUGCAUAUACGGACGGCCACGGAAGUUUCAGAUGAUAACCUCUGGUCUGAAAGCGACACAGCUGAUGAGGUGUGAUGCAUGGGCGGCGUCGCAGAUAGCCACCAAUCCAGCAUAUAUGCCAUUCGUACCGCGGUGGACAAGUCGUCUACUACCACUACUUGUUGUAUACUUGCGUUUUUGACACUUGGAUUCGGAUUGCGAUCACUGUCAGCGCUACGUCCGCCUUUUCUCGCCGUCUCCACUUGUUCAACCACCAGUCUGUUUCUCCACAGUCGGCUAGUGCAUUUCUUGCACCGUGUUAAGCGGAUGACCAGGGAAUGGUUACAUCCCCCACUGUCUAC
This is a long non-coding RNA of Sorghum bicolor (sorghum), 631 nucleotides long. RefSeq lists it as uncharacterized. NCBI's taxonomy places the organism in Eukaryota, Viridiplantae, Streptophyta, Magnoliopsida, Poales, Poaceae. The transcript has 3 exons. The record is from RefSeq and is a predicted model, not a curated record.